GCAGCGUGUUGGUCGCCUCGGCCAGGUUGUUGACGUCGUGAGUCAACACCUCACGGUUCUUGUCGAGGAACGGCCGGAUCGUCGUCAGCAAGCUGUC
RNAcentral lists this transfer RNA (97 nucleotides) under Mycobacterium pseudokansasii. RNAcentral's name for it is "Mycobacterium sp. MK142 tRNA-Thr". Lineage: Bacteria; Bacillati; Actinomycetota; Actinomycetes; Mycobacteriales; Mycobacteriaceae. The record is from RNAcentral.